AAGAUCGUGCCCACCAAAGAUGUUAUCGAUGCUGCCUUCAAAGAUCCUGUCAAGCGCGAAGAGAUAAGGAACAACAAGCUGAUAUAUCAAGACAAACCAAGACUCAAAA
Brassica oleracea var. oleracea is the source of this 109-nucleotide long non-coding RNA. RefSeq lists it as uncharacterized. NCBI's taxonomy places the organism in Eukaryota, Viridiplantae, Streptophyta, Magnoliopsida, Brassicales, Brassicaceae. The transcript is spliced from 2 exons. The record is from RefSeq and is a predicted model, not a curated record.